This 392-nucleotide RNase P RNA is filed under the name Allobosea sp. Its description in RNAcentral is "RNase P RNA component class A". It matches the Rfam family "Bacterial RNase P class A". Rfam says of the family: Ribonuclease P (RNase P) is a ubiquitous endoribonuclease, found in archaea, bacteria and eukarya as well as chloroplasts and mitochondria. Its best characterised activity is the generation of mature 5'-ends of tRNAs by cleaving the 5'-leader elements of precursor-tRNAs. Cellular RNase Ps are ribonucleoproteins. Lineage: Bacteria; Pseudomonadati; Pseudomonadota; Alphaproteobacteria; Hyphomicrobiales; Alloboseaceae. RNAcentral also lists the same sequence under 1 other name. The record is from RNAcentral.
CCAGUCGGCCGGACGGCCGCUCUCGCUCGCGAGGGAGGAAAGUCCGGGCUCCACGGAAACACGGUGCCGGAUAACGUCCGGCGGGGGCGACCCCAGGGAAAGCGCCACAGAGAUCGAACCGCCCGGCGCUUCGGCGCGGGGUAAGGGUGAAAAGGUGCGGUAAGAGCGCACCGCGGACCCGGCAACGGGGACGGCACGGCAAGCCCCACCGGGAGCAAAACCGAAUAGGGACGAUGCUUUCCGCGCAAGCGGAGAGGGGCAGGUUUCUGUGCCCUGUCGUCCGGGUUGGUUGCUCGAGGCGCGCAGCGAUGCGCGCCCCAGAGGAAUGGCCGUCACGUCGGGGGAGCGAUCCUCCGGCCAUCCAGAACCCGGCUUACAGGCCGGCUGGCGCC